CUUCUUCAGACACCUCUCCAGUAGAGGAAGGAAGUCCCUGCUUCCUUUGCUGCUAGGUUGGGUAGAAAUCCAGGUUCCACACUUGGCAUCCAUUAAGGCCUGAGGUUUUAGACUACCUUGUUACAGUCUUUAAGAAUGAAAGUCCAGGCUCUUCAAUCACACUUUGCUGAUAUGGAUGAGGGCUGCACCUUUCCUGGCCAUUUGGCUAGAGACGGCUGAUUUUCAUUGCUAUUUUACUGUUUUUGUUUCUGCACAUUGAUGUUUCCAGGUUACCGGCUUCUUCAGUUCUAAGCCUGAGAUAUAUGAGUCAAAAAGAAAACUCAGAAAACUCUCUACCAUGUUGUUCUUCAGGUGUCAGAUUUCCUAUCUGGUAUGCCUUCUUCUUUCUACCUUUCAGCAUCUUUUUAUGUUUGUUUUAUAUAUAAUUCCCAAGAUUUCUCAUUUUGUUUAGUUGAAGGAAUAGAGAAAAGUACAUCUGUUCUAUCUUCCUGGAAGUGAAAACCUACAACACUUAAAAAAACAGUAUUAUGUACAAUAAACUGCGCAUAUUUAAAGUAUACUGUUUGAUAAGUUUGUAUUUACAUAAGCACUCAUUAAAUUUGCAAACCAAUCUUAAAAUUUAUAUGGACAGGGAAAAAAAUUAAAAUAGUUGAAACAAUUUUGAAA
This 666-nucleotide long non-coding RNA is filed under the name Homo sapiens (human). RNAcentral's name for it is "HSALNT0139911". Lineage: Eukaryota; Metazoa; Chordata; Mammalia; Primates; Hominidae. The record is from RNAcentral.